AAUUUCAAUUUUAAUUGUUAAACUUUAUAAUUUUGGUUGUGGUUCAAUAAGCUAAAUUAAGUCAUGUAAACUUCCUUGUAUGUUAUCUGUUUGAUAAAAUUUCACACUGAAAAUUCUGUUAACUUUCGGUCGCUCUUUAAAUUGCUUUUGUCCGUGUUUAGAUAUGAUCUAUUGCUAAUUUCAGUUAAGGAUAAUAUGUUUAUCCGACUAACUUGAGCUAAAUUAAGAUCAUAUUGCAUUACUGAUUAGAGGACUUCAAGUGAAUUUUGCCUCAAAAUACUCAAUAGUCUAGUUUGUGGAAGUGCUUUUUAAAAUGAUUUUGCUGUAUGCUAAAUAUUAGGCAUCAUAACAUACAGGGCUUUGAACAUCUCAGAAUUUCAUCUGCAUUUCAUCACAUCCAUUAGGGUUGGAAGUGCUUACCGGCUAUUCAUGCCUCUAG
RNAcentral lists this long non-coding RNA (439 nucleotides) under Cicer arietinum (chickpea). RNAcentral describes it as "long non-coding RNA (CARI_LNC003437)". The record is from RNAcentral. Lineage: Eukaryota; Viridiplantae; Streptophyta; Magnoliopsida; Fabales; Fabaceae.